GGCAGGGGGCGUGUCUAUGUGUAAAAAGGGGCAGGCGAGGAGGGGGGAGAGCUGGCAGCGAGCCAGCUGCCAUCAGAAUUAGCUCAUUGUUCGAUAUAACCGGCACUGGCAACCAAAAUCCAGCCUGAGACAGAGGGAGAGACUUUUCCCCUAGCCACCCCCACCCUUUUUUCUUUUUUUCUCCCAAGACUGCACCUUGGAAGAGGUGCAGUCAUUCUUCCCCACACCCCUUACCCUCUCUCCACUCCCCCAACUAUAAAUUCCCUUCCGUAGCGUGCUGGCAUUUUUUAAUCCACAUUUGUGUUUCAGAUCAUGUAGAAAGGACAGAAAGUGAGCAGGGAGCGGGGGCUAUUAUCUAUUGUUCUCCUUGUGCUACUUGAGAGAAACUGCAAUCCCAAGACUUAACAGAAUCUAAAAAUGCUUUGGACAAGAGGAGAAAAAUUUGGGGAUGGCCUUUCAGAAAGAAAACAGUUGGGGAAAAAGCAGCUUCUGGUAUGGCAUGAGAAAACCAUUGGCUAUU
Long non-coding RNA from Dryobates pubescens (Downy woodpecker), 520 nucleotides. RefSeq lists it as uncharacterized. The transcript has 3 exons. NCBI's taxonomy places the organism in Eukaryota, Metazoa, Chordata, Aves, Piciformes, Picidae. The record is from RefSeq and is a predicted model, not a curated record.